AAAGCUUUAAGUUAAAUAAACUAUUAACCUUCAAAGUUAAAGAUAUGAAAUAGUUCAUAAGCUUUA
This 66-nucleotide transfer RNA is filed under the name Lamprocoris sp. HL-2012. Its description in RNAcentral is "tRNA-Trp". Lineage: Eukaryota; Metazoa; Arthropoda; Insecta; Hemiptera; Scutelleridae. The record is from RNAcentral.